This 76-nucleotide transfer RNA is filed under the name Bacteroidales bacterium. RNAcentral describes it as "tRNA-Gly". It matches the Rfam family "tRNA". From Rfam's summary of the family: Transfer RNA (tRNA) molecules are approximately 80 nucleotides in length. Lineage: Bacteria; Pseudomonadati; Bacteroidota; Bacteroidia; Bacteroidales. The record is from RNAcentral.
GCGGAAGUAGCUCAGCUGGUAGAGCGCAACCUUGCCAAGGUUGAGGUCGCGGGUUCGAGCCCCGUUUUCCGCUCCA